AGGCUGAAAAGUUCUUUUCUUUUGACAGAAACUAGAAAGCGCUAGUAAGACUUCCAGCCCUCCCUUAGGCGGAGGACUCUGUGAGAGGAGGGUUUGAGGUCACAGAAAGCCAGCUUUGAGGAGGUAGAAGCAAAAUGGGGUCUACUCACAAAGACAGGUUUUCCGAGGUCUUUUGUUUGACAUGGAAAAAUGAGAGAGACACAACAGGUUGGUGGCUGGAAACUGAGUCUGAAUUUAAGACAGCAGCCUCUAGGUGGCGCACACACCGUAAUAAAUACCUUGAAGAGAGGAGAUUUCAUCUGCGAAUGGAGCUUCCCGGCUCACUUCAGAAGCACGGGAGCUUUUUAGACAAGCUACUCCCCACUGCAGCAGAAAGACAACCCCCAAAUCUAAACCCUCUGCAUCCAAUUUAAAGAAGGCAGAGCUUCGAUCAUCUCGAUGACAAUGGAGGGAGGACACCACAUCUACCUAAGGAUCAUGGAGCCAUCAGCUUGGCCUUUUCCGCCAAGAGAGAGAGAGGCACACAUGCAAACUGAGGCAGGAACAGGCUUGACAGUGCCCUGGAUGAUGAAGCAAUCUUUUGCUGCGGACCAUGGAGCAAGCAGCGCUUCACUCAGUGCCCAGCGCUGGAGGAGAGGCCCCAGGGGAGGCAGAAGAUGCCCACCUGCAGAUGCGUGGAAACAUAUGGGAUCAGCAUCCGCAGCGCUCCUGCUGGUGCACUAAACAGGGGCAUUAACCUAAUGCUGCCAUGGAGGACUUUUGUCUUUUCUCUGGCAGAAGGAGCAGCUCACAUCCAGAGCCAACAAGUUGGAGAAAUGGCUUCUCUUGGCGAUUAGGCCUAAUGGUGGAAUUGUUAGACCGCUACAGCUGCAGGGGGCUUUCCUCUCUCAUCCCGGCUCUCCUCCGUUUGCUGUCCUGGAAACAUUUACUGAUUAUUAAAGAAUCACGUGGGUUUGAUUUUUCUCCAAAUAAAAGACCAAGGGUUAUCAGCCACGUCCUCAGUGUGUGACAGCCCCCUGGGAAGGUUCUGAACAGGAUGAAUUGUCUAAACUGCCUGAAGAUCUGAAGUGGGAGAGGUGGAUUACCUGGUGUCCUCGCCUUGCCCUCUUGGCACUUCCUUGCUCUCUAAGCUCCAUGCAAUUGGUCCCAUCCUUAUUCUCAGCCAAGACCCCUACUUCCAGCACAAGUCCUAUCCUACAGGUAGGAUUCAGUGUCCCGGCUGAGAUGGGGACAAACCUCAUCCCAAAGUCAUGCAAAGAGGGGAGGGUUUAAUCCCCAGCAGUGUAGAGAGGAUCUGCUGCAUGGCA
RNAcentral lists this long non-coding RNA (1307 nucleotides) under Equus asinus (donkey). RNAcentral's name for it is "lncRNA (ENSEASG00005026268.1)". The record is from RNAcentral. Lineage: Eukaryota; Metazoa; Chordata; Mammalia; Perissodactyla; Equidae.